Molecule: ribosomal RNA, 301 nt
Filed under: uncultured bacterium
Lineage: Bacteria
Description: partial 16S ribosomal RNA
Rfam family: Bacterial small subunit ribosomal RNA
Source: RNAcentral
CAGUAGCCGCGGGAAUACAGAGGGUGCGAGCGUUAAUCGGAUUUACUGGGCGUAAAGCGUGCGUAGGCGGCUUCUUAAGUCGGUUGUGAAAGCCCUGGGCUCAACCUGGGAAUUGCAGUGGAUACUGGGUCACUAGAGUGUGGUAGAGGAUAGUGGAAUUUCCGGUGUAGCAGUGAAAUGCGUAGAGAUCGGAAGGAACAUCUGUGGCGAAGGCGACUAUCUGGGCCAACACUGACACUGAGGCACGAAAGCGUGGGGAGCAAACAGGAUUAGAUACCCCCGUAGUCCCUGUCUCUUAUAC